RNAcentral lists this ribosomal RNA (446 nucleotides) under uncultured bacterium. RNAcentral describes it as "bacterial SSU rRNA". It matches the Rfam family "Bacterial small subunit ribosomal RNA", at positions 331 to 793 of the family's 1533-position model. The record is from RNAcentral.
CCAGACUCCUACGGGAGGCAGCAGUGGGGGAUAUUGCACAAUGGGGGGAACCCUGAUGCAGCGACGCCGCGUGGGUGAAGGAGUGCUUCGGCAUGUAAAGCCCUAUCGGCAGGGAAGAAGCAAGACGGUACCUGACUAAGAAGCCCCGGCUAACUACGUGCCAGCAGCCGCGGUAAUACGUAGGGGGCAAGCGUUAUCCGGAUUUACUGGGUGUAAAGGGAGCGUAGACGGUUACGCAAGUCUGGAGUGAAAGGCGGGGGCCCAACCCCCGGACUGCAUUGGAAACUGUUAGGCUGGAGUGUCGGAGAGGUAAGCGGAAUUCCUAGUGUAGCGGUGAAAUGCGUAGAUAUUAGGAGGAACACCAGUGGCGAAGGCGGCUUACUGGACGACAACUGACGCUGAGGCUCGAAAGCGUGGGGAGCAAACAGGAUUAGAUACCCGCGUAU